This 253-nucleotide ribosomal RNA is filed under the name uncultured bacterium. RNAcentral's name for it is "partial 16S ribosomal RNA". It matches the Rfam family "Bacterial small subunit ribosomal RNA", at positions 524 to 776 of the family's 1533-position model. The record is from RNAcentral.
UACGGAGGGUGCAAGCGUUAAUCGGAAUCACUGGGCGUAAAGGGCGCGUAGGUGGUCUGAUAAGUCGGGUGUGAAAGCCCUGGGCUCAACCCGGGAACUGCAUUCGAUACUGUCAGGCUAGAGUAUGGUAGAGGGAAGCGGAAUUCCGCAUGUAGCGGUGAAAUGCGUAGAUAUGCGGAGGAACACCAGUGGCGAAGGCGGCUUCCUGGACCAAAACUGACACUGAGGCGCGAAAGCGUGGGGAGCAAACAGG